AACAAGUUUCAGUUCAUGUAAACAUCCUACACUCAGCUGUAAUGCUUGAACUGGCUGGGAGGUGGAUGUUUACGUUAGCUGACUUGGA
MicroRNA precursor from Ochotona princeps (American pika), 88 nucleotides. NCBI's taxonomy places the organism in Eukaryota, Metazoa, Chordata, Mammalia, Lagomorpha, Ochotonidae. The record is from Ensembl.